Molecule: non-coding RNA, 709 nt
Organism: Plutella xylostella (diamondback moth)
Lineage: Eukaryota; Metazoa; Arthropoda; Insecta; Lepidoptera; Plutellidae
Source: RefSeq, a predicted model, not a curated record
GAUAGCGCUCUGACGCGCGCUGGUAAUGCUUUCUGUUUGACGUAGCCUUAUGUUAUUUUGAAUUUGCGGUUAGUUAUUAUAUAGCCCUCAUUGUAACGUACUUUAUCACUGUAUUUGCAGAUGCGUGGUCAGAGGCUGCUGGGGGGUUACUGUGGGGGCGUGAUACUCACACAGCACCACGUGCUCACCGCUGCACACUGCUUAUUUCGGUGUGAACCCUUUGCCACUGUAGUAUCAAGUCAUGCGGUGAAUGAUCUAGGUACUUUACACCAUACCAUUAAAUCUUUCCAGAACAAUCAAUGACACUACCAUCUUGAGGGCAUCUAAAGUUGUCAUUCGCGUCGGAUCCACCUAAUGACCGCGGAGGCUCAAAGCAUGAGACGUCCAAUACCUUGGUCCACGAGGAUUACAAAUAUUCGGAGAGUAAAGACAACGACGUUGCAGUGUUGGUGCUGUCGACCAGUGUGAGCAACUACCGGAGCAGCUCGGUGCAGCCAGCCGUCAUCCCCCCGGGGGGGUAUGUGGUCCCGGACAACGCGUCUGUGGUAGCUGUCGGGUGGGGACGGACUGAUAUGAAAUGCAUCAAGUCAAGCCCCAUCGGCCUGCGACUCGUGGGGCUGCGCAAGGUGGACCGAGACACCUGCGCCGCACGUUAUCCACGAUUCUCAUACAACAACAUGCUCUGCGCGGGGCUGCUUGGUGUUGGAGG